UGAAGCCUCAAAUCUAUCACACUAACCCC
RNAcentral lists this non-coding RNA (29 nucleotides) under Mus musculus (house mouse). The record is from RNAcentral. Lineage: Eukaryota; Metazoa; Chordata; Mammalia; Rodentia; Muridae.